Long non-coding RNA from Labrus mixtus (cuckoo wrasse), 379 nucleotides. RefSeq lists it as uncharacterized. The record is from RefSeq and is a predicted model, not a curated record. The transcript is spliced from 3 exons. Lineage: Eukaryota; Metazoa; Chordata; Actinopteri; Labriformes; Labridae.
GACUUUUAUCAAACUCUUUUCACCCUGAAGAACACUUUGUUUAGUAUCCUUUCUUGUUUUGUUCAAGUUUCUUCAUGAUUGUACCAAAAAGAAACCUUUAUAACACGAUGUAAAUGGCCUCUCUGUUUGGAGAUCUCUCCCGUGCAUGUGUGGGCUCUCUCCAGGUACUCUGGAUUCCUCCCACAGUCCAGACAUGCUCGUUAGGUCAAUUGGUGACUCUACAUUGCCAGUAGUUUCCAUCUGUCUUCAUGGAUAAAGACAGUGACUGAAGACUGCAGCACAUGUGAAGGUGGUAAAAAUAAAAGCAAACUGUCUGCUGCUCCAGAUCUCCUCUACUAUAAUACUUCAAAUGAAACCUGGUAUGUGAUCCUGUGGUCCC